Molecule: long non-coding RNA, 392 nt
Organism: Rosa chinensis
Lineage: Eukaryota; Viridiplantae; Streptophyta; Magnoliopsida; Rosales; Rosaceae
Exons: 2
Source: RefSeq, a predicted model, not a curated record
AUAACACUGUUAAACUUCCUCCGGACAUAAUAAUAUUCAAGCUCAUGAAGGUUUAUAUGCGCUUAUCACCUCUCCGCAAAACUGCUUUAAGGGGAGUUUUUUGCUCAGCUUUCCAGGUUGGUGUAUCAACAUGGUGUCUUAACAUGACAGGGCCGAUUUUUGUAUCUAUGUUCAAGCCUUUGGGGAUCGUAGUUGCAGUUGCCACUGGUUUUGGAGUGUAGCAUACUCUUUACUCUCUGGGUUCAGAAAAUCUAGAAAGAAAGCACGGGCUAUCUAGCUUAAUUUUGAGUUUAACUACCAAAAGAUAAUUGUUGUUUAUGUACUCUAAUCGACUGAAAACACGUAUCAAUAACAAAGAGACCCGCAGCAAAGCGCGGGCUAUCUAUCUAGUU